This 16-nucleotide microRNA is filed under the name Nicotiana attenuata. RNAcentral's name for it is "microRNA mir-396-like". The record is from RNAcentral. Lineage: Eukaryota; Viridiplantae; Streptophyta; Magnoliopsida; Solanales; Solanaceae.
UUCCACAGCUUUCUUG